Molecule: transfer RNA, 73 nt
Filed under: Dipodomys ordii (Ord's kangaroo rat)
Lineage: Eukaryota; Metazoa; Chordata; Mammalia; Rodentia; Heteromyidae
Rfam family: tRNA
About the family: Transfer RNA (tRNA) molecules are approximately 80 nucleotides in length. Their secondary structure includes four short double-helical elements and three loops (D, anti-codon, and T loops).
Source: Rfam by way of RNAcentral
GGGAAUGUGGCUUAGUGGUAGAGUACUUGCCUAGCAUGCAUGAAGCCCUGGGUUCAAUUCCUCAGUGUCACCU